This 804-nucleotide ribosomal RNA is filed under the name uncultured bacterium. RNAcentral's name for it is "bacterial SSU rRNA". It matches the Rfam family "Bacterial small subunit ribosomal RNA", at positions 1 to 838 of the family's 1533-position model. The record is from RNAcentral.
CCCUUAGAGUUUGAUCCUGGCUCAGAAUCAACGCUGGCGGCGCGCUUAACACAUGCAAGUCGAGCGAGAAAGGGGAGCAAUCCCUGAGUAAAGCGGCGUACGGGUGAGUAACACGUGGAUGAUCUACCUUUUAGUGGGGAAUAACCCUGGGAAACCGGGGCUAAUACCGCAUAAUCCUGUGAAGGGAAAGCGAGCAAUCGCGCUGAAAGAGGAGUCCGCGGCCGAUUAGCUAGUUGGUGAGGUAAUGGCUCACCAAGGCGGUGAUCGGUAGCCGGCCUGAGAGGGCACACGGCCACACUGGCACUGAAACACGGGCCAGACUCCUACGGGAGGCAGCAGUGGGGAAUCUUGCACAAUGGAGGCAACUCUGAUGCAGCGACGCCGCGUGAGCGAUGAAGCCCUUCGGGGUGUAAAGCUCUUUCGGCAGGGACGAUAAUGACGGUACCUGAAGAAGAAGCUGCGGCUAACUACGUGCCAGCAGCCGCGGUAAUACGUAGGCAGCGAGCGUUGUUCGGAAUUACUGGGCGUAAAGAGUGUGUAGGCGGUGCUCUAAGUUCGGUGUGAAAUCUCCUGGCUUAACUGGGAGGGUGCGCCGGAAACUGGAGUGCUCGAGCGUGGGAGAGGAAAGCGGAAUUCCUGGUGUAGCGGUGAAAUGCGUAGAUAUCAGGAGGAACACCUGUGGGUGUAGACGGCUUUCUGGACCAUUGCUGACGCUGAGACACGAAAACGUGGGUAGCAAACAGAUUAGAUACCCUGGUAGUCCACGCCCUAAACGAUGCAUACUUGGUGUCGGCCAUUCAGUUG